AUUUCACCUAGCUCAGUCGGUAGAGCAUGAGACUCUUAAUCUCAGGGUUGUGGGUCUGAGCCCCAUGUUGUGUGAAACA
RNAcentral lists this transfer RNA (79 nucleotides) under Podarcis lilfordi (Lilford's wall lizard). Its description in RNAcentral is "tRNA.Lys". The stretch from base 9 to 66 matches the Rfam family "tRNA", at positions 8 to 63 of the family's 71-position model. From Rfam's summary of the family: Transfer RNA (tRNA) molecules are approximately 80 nucleotides in length. Their secondary structure includes four short double-helical elements and three loops (D, anti-codon, and T loops). Lineage: Eukaryota; Metazoa; Chordata; Lepidosauria; Squamata; Lacertidae. The record is from RNAcentral.